UUCAUUUUUGUACGUGUUAUUUCCCAAAAACCCUAAAAAGUCUAAAACAAGAAAUAUACAAGGGGCUAUUCUUUGUGUCCAUAUUUGAACCUAUACUACUGUUAUUUCUUCAUCUCAUUUGCCAGUUUCUGGAAUCUGCCUUCUUGGCAGCAACUUUCAGUUGUUACACCAUAGAUGACCUCGUCCUUUGUCUUGCUUAUC
Molecule: long non-coding RNA, 201 nt
Filed under: Nicotiana benthamiana
Lineage: Eukaryota; Viridiplantae; Streptophyta; Magnoliopsida; Solanales; Solanaceae
Description: long non-coding RNA (NBEN_LNC040527)
Source: RNAcentral